Molecule: ribosomal RNA, 434 nt
Filed under: uncultured bacterium
Lineage: Bacteria
Description: bacterial SSU rRNA
Rfam family: Bacterial small subunit ribosomal RNA
Source: RNAcentral
UGACGACCGGCGUACGGGUGAGUAACGCGUAUGCAACCUACCCUAGUACUGGGGGAUAGCCCGGAGAAAUUCGGAUUAAUACCCCAUAAAGAUAUUUGGAGGCAUCUUUAGAUAUUUAAAGUUUCGACGGUACGGGAUGGGCAUGCGUAACAUUAGCUAGUUGGUAGGGUAACGGCCUACCAAGGCGACGAUGUUUAGGGGUCCUGAGAGGGUGAUCCCCCACACUGGUACUGAGACACGGACCAGACUCCUACGGGAGGCAGCAGUGAGGAAUAUUGGUCAAUGGGCGUAAGCCUGAACCAGCCAUCCCGCGUGAAGGAAGACUGCCCUAUGGGUUGUAAACUUCUUUUCCAGGGGAAUAAAAUUUUGUACGGGUACGAAACUGAAGGUACCCUGGGAAUAAGCAUCGGCUAACUCCGUGCCAGCAGCCGCGG